Non-coding RNA from Callorhinus ursinus (northern fur seal), 86 nucleotides. Lineage: Eukaryota; Metazoa; Chordata; Mammalia; Carnivora; Otariidae. The record is from RefSeq and is a predicted model, not a curated record.
AAUGAUUAAUUGGGUGGCUUUCCCAGGACAAGGCUUAUCCAUUGCACUCCGGAUGUGCUGACCUCUGCGAUUUUCCCAAAUGUGGG